Rhineura floridana is the source of this 303-nucleotide long non-coding RNA. RefSeq lists it as uncharacterized. The record is from RefSeq and is a predicted model, not a curated record. NCBI's taxonomy places the organism in Eukaryota, Metazoa, Chordata, Lepidosauria, Squamata, Rhineuridae. The transcript is spliced from 3 exons.
CUUAAUUUGUUUAAAGGACUGAAACUGCUGGAAGUCACCAUGUCUGACAAGCAAUCAGGUCUUCAGAGCUUAGCUCAUCAAGCUCAGGGCACAGUACAGGAUGCUGCAAACAAGAUGGGACAGGCCACACAGCAAGUUGUGAACCAAGCUACAGAGGCGGGUCAAAAAGCUCUGGACCAGGUGUGUAAGGCGGCUCAAGAUGGUGUUGACAAAACAGCAACUGAAGUUGAGAAAAAAUUUGGACUCAAGAAAUGAUGGCCAUCAUGAUAUUUAAAGGAGACAAAAGACUGUCAGGCAUCUUUA